Molecule: ribosomal RNA, 400 nt
Filed under: uncultured bacterium
Lineage: Bacteria
Description: bacterial SSU rRNA
Rfam family: Bacterial small subunit ribosomal RNA
Source: RNAcentral
GGGGAAUAUUGGACAAUGGGCGAAAGCCUGAUCCAGCCAUGCCGCGUGAGUGAUGAAGGCCCUAGGGUUGUAAAGCUCUUUCAACGGUGAAGAUAAUGACGGUAGCCGUAGAAGAAGCCCCGGCUAACUUCGUGCCAGCAGCCGCGGUAAUACGAAGGGGGCUAGCGUUGUUCGGAAUUACUGGGCGUAAAGCGCACGUAGGCGGAUCGGUCAGUUAGGGGUGAAAUCCCGGGGCUCAACCCCGGAACUGCCUUUAAUACUGCCGAUCUAGAGUCCGGAAGAGGUGAGUGGAAUUCCGAGUGUAGAGGUGAAAUUCGUAGAUAUUCGGAGGAACACCAGUGGCGAAGGCGGCUCACUGGUCCGGUACUGACGCUGAGGUGCGAAAGCGUGGGGAGCAAAC